RNAcentral lists this ribosomal RNA (965 nucleotides) under Vibrio sp. 743M. RNAcentral's name for it is "bacterial SSU rRNA". It matches the Rfam family "Bacterial small subunit ribosomal RNA", at positions 452 to 1421 of the family's 1533-position model. Lineage: Bacteria; Pseudomonadati; Pseudomonadota; Gammaproteobacteria; Vibrionales; Vibrionaceae. The record is from RNAcentral.
CGUUAAUAGCGGUAUCUCUUGACGUUAGCUGCAGAAGAAGCACCGGCUAACUCCGUGCCAGCAGCCGCGGUAAUACGGAGGGUGCGAGCGUUAAUCGGAAUUACUGGGCGUAAAGCGCAUGCAGGUGGUUCGUUAAGUCAGAUGUGAAAGCCCGGGGCUCAACCUCGGAACUGCAUUUGAAACUGGUGAACUAGAGUCUGUAGAGGGGGGUAGAAUUUCAGGUGUAGCGGUGAAAUGCGUAGAGAUCUGAAGGAAUACCAGUGGCGAAGGCGGCCCCCUGGACAGAUACUGACACUCAGAUGCGAAAGCGUGGGGAGCAAACAGGAUUAGAUACCCUGGUAGUCCACGCCGUAAACGAUGUCUACUUGGAGGUUGUGGUCUUGAGCCGUGGCUUUCGGAGCUAACGCGUUAAGUAGACCGCCUGGGGAGUACGGUCGCAAGAUUAAAACUCAAAUGAAUUGACGGGGGCCCGCACAAGCGGUGGAGCAUGUGGUUUAAUUCGAUGCAACGCGAAGAACCUUACCUACUCUUGACAUCCAGAGAACAGUAGAGACACAUGAGUGCCUUCGGGAGCUCUGAGACAGGUGCUGCAUGGCUGUCGUCAGCUCGUGUUGUGAAAUGUUGGGUUAAGUCCCGCAACGAGCGCAACCCUUAUCCUUGUUUGCCAGCGUAAUGUCGGGAACUCCAGGGAGACUGCCGGUGAUAAACCGGAGGAAGGUGGGGACGACGUCAAGUCAUCAUGGCCCUUACGAGUAGGGCUACACACGUGCUACAAUGGCGCAUACAGAGGGCUGCCAACUAGCGAUAGUGAGCGAAUCCCAAAAGUGCGUCGUAGUCCGGAUUGGAGUCUGCAACUCGACUCCAUGAAGUCGGAAUCGCUAGUAAUCGUAGAUCAGAAUGCUACGGUGAAUACGUUCCCGGGCCUUGUACACACCGCCCGUCACACCAUGGGAGUGGGCUGCAAA